RNAcentral lists this ribosomal RNA (695 nucleotides) under uncultured bacterium. RNAcentral's name for it is "bacterial SSU rRNA". It matches the Rfam family "Bacterial small subunit ribosomal RNA", at positions 32 to 715 of the family's 1533-position model. The record is from RNAcentral.
AACGCUAGCUACAGGCUUAACACAUGCAAGUCGAGGGGCAGCAUGAUUGAAGCUUGCUUCAAUUGAUGGCGACCGGCGCACGGGUGAGUAACACGUAUCCAACCUUCCGUACACUCAGGGAUAGCCUUUCGAAAGAAAGAUUAAUACCUGAUGGUAUCUUAAGCACACAUGUAAUUAAGAUUAAAGAUUUAUCGGUGUACGAUGGGGAUGCGUUCCAUUAGAUAGUAGGCGGGGUAACGGCCCACCUAGCCUACGAUGGAUAGGGGUUCUGAGAGGAAGGUCCCCCACAUUGGAACUGAGACACGGUCCAAACUCCUACGGGAGGCAGCAGUGAGGAAUAUUGGUCAAUGGACGAGAGUCUGAACCAGCCAAGUAGCGUGAAGGAUGACUGCCCUAUGGGUUGUAAACUUCUUUUAUACGGGAAUAAAGUAUUCCACGUGUGGAAUUUUGUAUGUACCGUAUGAAUAAGGAUCGGCUAACUCCGUGCCAGCAGCCGCGGUAAUACGGAGGAUCCGAGCGUUAUCCGGAUUUAUUGGGUUUAAAGGGAGCGUAGGUGGAAGAUUAAGUCAGCCUGUGAAAGUUUGCGGCUCAACCGUAAAAUUGCAGUUGAUACUGGUUUUCUUGAGUGCAGUAGAGGUGGGCGGAAUUCGUGGUGUAGCGGUGAAAUGCUUAGAUAUCACGAAGAACUCCGAUUG